This 490-nucleotide ribosomal RNA is filed under the name uncultured bacterium. Its description in RNAcentral is "partial 16S ribosomal RNA". It matches the Rfam family "Bacterial small subunit ribosomal RNA", at positions 30 to 507 of the family's 1533-position model. The record is from RNAcentral.
AUUGAACGCUGGCGGCAGGCCUAACACAUGCAAGUCGAACGGUAACAGGAAACAGCUUGCUGUUUCGCUGACGAGUGGCGGACGGGUGAGUAAUGUCUGGGAAACUGCCUGAUGGAGGGGGAUAACUACUGGAAACGGUAGCUAAUACCGCAUAACGUCGCAAGACCAAAGAGGGGGACCUUCGGGCCUCUUGCCAUCAGAUGCGCCCAGAUGGGAUUAGCUAGUAGGUGGGGUAACGGCUCACCUAGGCGACGAUCCCUAGCUGGUCUGAGAGGAUGACCAGCCACACUGGAACUGAGACACGGUCCAGACUCCUACGGGAGGCAGCAGUGGGGAAUAUUGCACAAUGGGCGCAAGCCUGAUGCAGCCAUGCCGCGUGUAUGAAGAAGGCCUUCGGGUUGUAAAGUACUUUCAGCGGGGAGGAAGGGAGUAAAGUUAAUACCUUUGCUCAUUGACGUUACCCGCAGAAGAAGCACCGGCUAACUCCGUG